This 87-nucleotide transfer RNA is filed under the name Oscillospiraceae bacterium. RNAcentral's name for it is "tRNA-Leu". It matches the Rfam family "tRNA". Rfam says of the family: Transfer RNA (tRNA) molecules are approximately 80 nucleotides in length. Their secondary structure includes four short double-helical elements and three loops (D, anti-codon, and T loops). Lineage: Bacteria; Bacillati; Bacillota; Clostridia; Eubacteriales; Oscillospiraceae. The record is from RNAcentral.
GCACGAGUGGUGGAAUUGGUAGACUCGCCGGCUUCAGGUGCCGGUGCUCGCGAGGGCGUGUGGGUUCGAGUCCCACCUCGUGCACCA